UUAGGCUUAAAACAGUGUUUUUAAUUUUUUCUUUUUUGAGUGGGCGGCGCCCAUAUGGGCACCAAGACUGGACGGGCACCUGUGAGUAAAACAAGGAAGUGUGUGAAGUUUACUUUUUUUUAACUACCUUUUGUUCAACGAUGAAGGGAUCUGAGACUUGUAAUACUGUUUACUGAUUUGGUAAGUACCGUUUAAAAACAGUUGUUAAUGAAGUUCUCUAAUAUAUUUGAAACUUUCAAUGAAAUAUGUCGUUUUUACCCGGAAGUGAAUCCAAAACAUACCGAGAGAAAUUUAUUAAAUUUAUCUUGUGGCCACUAAACACAGAUGAUUUCACUAUGCCUGUGUAUUUGAUAUAAAAUGGCCAGUUGGGUUAUCACAAAGAUUAUUGAAGGCAGGCAGCUUCUCACUCGAGGUGACCAGGAUUCAUCAAAUUAGUUCAUUGUCCAAAGUAAGCAUUAUUAUGGAAAGGAAGUGUCUAGUCGUCCGGUAACUAGCCUGCGUUCUAGUCGUCCGGUUACAAACUCAGGGGAUUUUCUAGCCGUCCGGUAAUAGAUUUCCUAAUGAAUAAGUUAUGAUUUUAUUUAGUUUUAAUGUUAUUUACUUAUGAUAUCGAUACUGAUCUGCAAACAAAAUUUUAGGUGAAUACAUAGUAAAGAUUUACAAUAAAUAAAUGCAUUAUUCAGCCGAUAAAUCGAAAGUUUGCCGAAAUCGAUUAUGGCGAGAUCGCCGUGACGUCACACAUUAAAAUCUGUUCAUCUGAUAGCUUUAAUAGGAUGGAAUGUUUAAAUUUUACCAAUUUUUUCAACGUUUUUUUUUUUUUUUUUUUUUCAAAAUUAAAACAGUUUUGAAAUACUUUAAAUUUUCAUAUUUUAAUAUUCAAAUUUUUUUAAUGAUUAACUGUUUUAAAUGACAUUUAAUUUCAAUAGCGGCAGUGUGAUGUUAUUUUUUUUUAUAGAACAACAGUAAUUAAGCAUUCAUAUUUAAUCCAUUUUAGUUCGAUAUAAUAAUAAUCAAAAGUAAUUAUUUAAUUAAUUGCUUGAUUUAUAAGCUUUCCAUUCUUCAUAUUUGUGUCUUAAGAAUUAAAGUUUAGGCAGUUAGAAAAACAUCACUUUUUACAAAUAAUAUGGACGUUCGCUGAUCAAUCAUUCAAUGUUUUAUCAUUUCGUAAAAUAGAAUAUCAACGGAUUUGUAUACAAACAGGAUCUCAUUCGUUAUAUCAACUAAAAUCAGGUAAGUAUUGAUAUCUUAAGUGAAUAACAUUUAAAACUUCAUAAAAUCAUUACUUAUUCAUUAAGAAAUUAAUUACCAGACGACUAGAAAAUCCCCUGAGGAUUUGCUAGCCGUCCGGUAUCCGGACGACUAGAACGUAGGCUAGUCGUCCGGAUACCGGACGACUAGACACUUCCUUAUGGAAAAUACAAUAUACAUGUAGCAAUGAUAAAUAAUAAAUUUGAUGCAGACUUAUAGAUGCCUGCCUGUGUCACAUCAUUUCUCGAAAAGUCCCCUCUCAAGUAGUAGCCAAGGUAUUUUAAAAGGAAAUAUGCAGAUGUUCGGUAACCGGACGCCUACCCUGCAUUCUAGCUGUCUGGCAACAAUACGACUAGCCUCUCUGCGAAUGUUUUUCUAGCUGUUCGGCGAUCUUUUUAUAUAUGAAUACUGUAAAGAAAUAAAUUUAUUGUAUCAUUUUUGGCAUAGGUUUGAAUAUUCACCUGCAAGGCGUAUACAAUAUUUUAAAAUUGAUUACCGGACACCUAGAAAACCCCUAUAGGAAAGAAAUUUGGAUAGGCUAGGCGUCCUGUUACCGGUUGGCUAGAACACCGGCUAGGUUUCUGGUUACCGGAUGUCUAGACACUUCCAUUUAUAAAAUGGUAACUGUUUUUGCUGUGGGUCUCAUAAGUCAUGUUAUUUCUGUCUGGUGACUACUCUCUUUUUCUAUUAUUGUUGAUUCAGAAUGUUUUGUACAGGAUGAUUUUUUUUUUGGAUGGUGGGAAUUUAUGCCAUAUAAUGAAAAUCUUUUUAAUUUUGAAAUUUUUGAGCCUUGCUGUGUGUAAAACAAUUUAAUAUGAUCCUGUAAAAAAUAGAUUCAUAGUAUAAUAACUUUUAUAGUAUUUUGUGGUAAGUUAAUGAAACCUUUCACAAUCACAUUAUUAAUUUAGUAUUCAUGAAGUUUUUGAUUUUAGUGAUGUUUACAGUACAUAUAAUGUAUCUUCUUUAAGAUGAUAUUCCUUGUUCCUUUGACGAUUCAUUCCACUAUACAGCUGGUUCAUAUACCCUACAACAGCCAGGAAAUUGGUCUGUUUACUUUAAGAUCCCAAGAAAUUGUAACAUAUUUUGGAUGUGCUUUGAGGAAUCAGGAAUGCAAGUGUUUCCUCUUGUUUAUGAAGCAACUCAGUUGGUUAAGGGGCAGACAACUUGUGAGCAUGGUACCUCACUACCUGUAUUGGUAUUCCAUUUUGACAAUGUUGCUAGCUAGAAUAGAAAUAACAUCUUGCUGUGGUACAGUCUGUGGAGACUUUUACUAGGAUAUCACAGAUUGAUUGAAUAUUCAACAAUGAUCACAGACCAUGUAAAGUUUGAAUCUGACUUGCACUUUUGAAUUUAGAAGAAUCUGUGGAGGAGGGUGAAUGCUGAGACCUUUAAUAAUACAUGAUAUUGCUGACACAGUGUGUCAGUCAUCAAAGAAAGGCCAUAACACUGCACAGUUGGUCAGCAAUGAUUUAAGUCCUGUCAUAUUCUACCAGUGGAGAAAUAUCUUAUCACAAUAUUUUAAACUUUUGAAGAAGAUAACCAAGUAUUACCACUUUAUCAUGUCUGCAGAAACACCUGGAUUGUUAGUGUUAAAAGUGACUGUCCAGUUAACUAACUAAAAUCUACAUCCCAUUGCCAAACGAAUAUUAUUGACAUGGAAUGACACAAGCCUGACAAUGGUACCUGUAUGAACUCAUAAGAGAAUAGUAUUUGUCUGAAAAGUCAAAGAAUUCUGUUUGUCCCAAACCACUUCAACUGAAAUUAUGAUUGGCGAGGAUUUUUCUGAGAACUGAAAAAAGGAAGUGAAUGUAAAAGAUAGAAAUUGUUGUUGAAUUCAAACGUUUUAAUACACAACACUUUAGCCUGUUUUGCUGUUCAUAUAGAUGUGUUUAGCUGUUAAGGUUAAACAUCAAGUAAAGGUUGUAGUUUCAGUUACCUACAUUAAAGUAUUGGCUGGAAAUAAAUAUUUACUUUUCA
Mercenaria mercenaria is the source of this 3225-nucleotide long non-coding RNA. RefSeq lists it as uncharacterized. The record is from RefSeq and is a predicted model, not a curated record. Lineage: Eukaryota; Metazoa; Mollusca; Bivalvia; Venerida; Veneridae. The transcript is spliced from 3 exons.